UACGUAGGGGGCAAGCGUUGUCCGGAAUUAUUGGGCGUAAAGAGCGUGUAGGCGGUUUGAUAAGUCUGCUGUAAAAGUCAGGGGCUCAACCCUUGAAAGCCGGUAGAUACUGUCAAGCUAGAGUACGGAAGAGGCGAGUGGAAUUCCUGGUGUAGCGGUGGAAUGCGCAGAUAUCAGGAGGAACACCAAUUGCGAAGGCAGCUCGCUGGGACGUUACUGACGCUGAGACGCGAAAGCGUGGGGAGCAAACAGG
Molecule: ribosomal RNA, 253 nt
Filed under: uncultured bacterium
Lineage: Bacteria
Description: partial 16S ribosomal RNA
Rfam family: Bacterial small subunit ribosomal RNA
Source: RNAcentral